AGAGUUUGAUCAUGGCUCAGGAUGAACGCUGGCGGCGUGCCUAAUACAUGCAAGUCGAGCGAACAGAUAAGGAGCUUGCUCCUUUGAAGUUAGCGGCGGACGGGUGAGUAACACGUGGGUAACCUACCUAUAAGACUGGGAUAACUUCGGGAAACCGGAGCUAAUACCGGAUAACAUUUAGAACCGCAUGGUUCUAAAGUGAAAGAUGGUUUUGCUAUCACUUAUAGAUGGACCCGCGCCGUAUUAGCUAGUUGGUAAGGUAACGGCUUACCAAGGCGACGAUACGUAGCCGACCUGAGAGGGUGAUCGGCCACACUGGAACUGAGACACGGUCCAGACUCCUACGGGAGGCAGCAGUAGGGAAUCUUCCGCAAUGGGCGAAAGCCUGACGGAGCAACGCCGCGUGAGUGAUGAAGGGUUUCGGCUCGUAAAACUCUGUUAUUAGGGAAGAACAAAUGUGUAAGUAACUGUGCACAUCUUGACGGUACCUAAUCAGAAAGCCACGGCUAACUACGUAAUGCACCCCGCGGUAAUACGUAGGUGGCAAGCGUUAUCCGGAAUUAUUGGGCGUAAAGCGCGCGUAGCCGGUUUCUUAAGUCUGAUGUGAAAGCCCACGGCUCAACCGUGGAGGGUCAUUGGAAACUGGGAAACUUGAGUGCAGAAGAGGAAAGUGGAAUUCCAUGUGUAGCGGUGAAAUGCGCAGAGAUAUGGAGGAACACCAGUGGCGAAGGCGACUUUCUGGUCUGUAACUGACGCUGAUGUGCGAAAGCGUGGGGAUCAAACAGGAUUAGAUACCCUGGUAGUCCACGCCGUAAACGAUGAGUGCUAAGUGUUAGGGGGUUUCCGCCCCUUAGUGCUGCAGCUAACGCAUUAAGCACUCCGCCUGGGGAGUACGACCGCAAGGUUGAAACUCAAAGGAAUUGACGGGCCACGGCACAAGCGGUGGAGCAUGUGGUUUAAUUCGAAGCAACGCGAAGAACCUUACCAAAUCUUGACAUCCUUUGAAAACUCU
RNAcentral lists this ribosomal RNA (1012 nucleotides) under Staphylococcus xylosus. Its description in RNAcentral is "bacterial SSU rRNA". It matches the Rfam family "Bacterial small subunit ribosomal RNA", at positions 8 to 1001 of the family's 1533-position model. Lineage: Bacteria; Bacillati; Bacillota; Bacilli; Caryophanales; Staphylococcaceae. The record is from RNAcentral.